UUGGAAACUGGUUAACUUGAGUGCAGUAGAGGUAAGUGGAACUCCAUGUGUAGCGGUGGAAUGCGUAGAUAUAUGGAAGAACACCAGUGGCGAAGGCGGCUUACUGGACUGCAACUGACGUUGAGGCUCGAAAGUGUGGGUAGCAAACAGGAUUAGAUACCCUGGUAGUCCACACCGUAAACGAUGAACACUAGGUGUUAGGAGGUUUCCGCCUCUUAGUGCCGAAGCUAACGCAUUAAGUGUUCCGCCUGGGGAGUACGACCGCAAGGUUGAAACUCAAAGGAAUUGACGGGGACCCGCACAAGCGG
Molecule: ribosomal RNA, 308 nt
Filed under: uncultured bacterium
Lineage: Bacteria
Description: bacterial SSU rRNA
Rfam family: Bacterial small subunit ribosomal RNA
Source: RNAcentral